Molecule: ribosomal RNA, 584 nt
Filed under: uncultured bacterium
Lineage: Bacteria
Description: bacterial SSU rRNA
Rfam family: Bacterial small subunit ribosomal RNA
Source: RNAcentral
CCUACGGGAGGCAGCAGUGGGGAAUUUUGGACAAUGGGCGCAAGCCUGAUCCAGCCAUGCCGCGUGUGGGAAGAAGGCCUUCGGGUUGUAAACCACUUUUGUCAGGGAAGAAACGGUCUGAACUAAUACUUUGGACUAAUGACGGUACCUGAAGAAUAAGCACCGGCUAACUACGUGCCAGCAGCCGCGGUAAUACGUAGGGUGCAAGCGUUAAUCGGAAUUACUGGGCGUAAAGCGUGCGCAGGCGGCUUUGCAAGACAGAUGUGAAAUCCCCGGGCUCAACCUGGGAACUGCAUUUGUGACUGCAUGGCUAGAGUACGGUAGAGGGGGAUGGAAUUCCGCGUGUAGCAGUGAAAUGCGUAGAUAUGCGGAGGAACACCGAUGGCGAAGGCAAUCCCCUGGACCUGUACUGACGCUCAUGCACGAAAGCGUGGGGAGCAAACAGGAUUAGAUACCCUGGUAGUCCACGCCCUAAACGAUGUCAACUGGUUGUUGGGAGGGUUUCUUCUCAGUAACGAAGCUAACGCGUGAAGUUGACCGCCUGGGGAGUACGGCCGCAAGGUUGAAACUUAAGGAAUUGACGG